This 265-nucleotide long non-coding RNA is filed under the name Homo sapiens (human). RNAcentral describes it as "HSALNT0387687". The record is from RNAcentral. Lineage: Eukaryota; Metazoa; Chordata; Mammalia; Primates; Hominidae.
CGUCGUUACUAUCACCAUCACCACCACCAUCACCACCACCACCAUCAUCACCAUCACCACCACCAUCACCACCACCACCAUCAUCAUCACCACCACCAUCAUCACCAUCACCACCACCACCAUCACCACCACCACCACCAUCAUCACCACCACCAUCACCAUCACCACCACCACCAUCGUGAUCCAUUAUCAUCACCCUCACCAUCAUCACUGCCAUCAUCACCACCUCCACCACCACAACCAUCAUCACCACCAUUAUCAUCAU